RNAcentral lists this ribosomal RNA (252 nucleotides) under uncultured bacterium. RNAcentral describes it as "partial 16S ribosomal RNA". It matches the Rfam family "Bacterial small subunit ribosomal RNA", at positions 524 to 776 of the family's 1533-position model. The record is from RNAcentral.
UACGUAGGGUGCAAGCGUUAAUCGGAAUUACUGGGCGUAAAGCGUGCGCAGGCGGUGAUGUAAGACAGAUGUGAAAUCCCCGGGCUCAACCUGGGAACUGCAUUGUGACUGCAUCGCUGGAGUACGGCAGAGGGGGAUGGAAUUCCGCGUGUAGCAGUGAAAUGCGUAGAUAUGCGGAGGAACACCGAUGGCGAAGGCAAUCCCCUGGGCCUGUACUGACGCUCAUGCACGAAAGCGUGGGGAGCAAACAGG